This 21-nucleotide non-coding RNA is filed under the name Caenorhabditis elegans. The record is from RNAcentral. Lineage: Eukaryota; Metazoa; Nematoda; Chromadorea; Rhabditida; Rhabditidae.
UGUGAAAAAAUAUAUUCGAUG